Molecule: ribosomal RNA, 412 nt
Filed under: Clostridioides difficile
Lineage: Bacteria; Bacillati; Bacillota; Clostridia; Peptostreptococcales; Peptostreptococcaceae
Description: bacterial SSU rRNA
Rfam family: Bacterial small subunit ribosomal RNA
Source: RNAcentral
UACGGGAUAAUAUAUUUGAGAGGCAUCUCUUGAAUAUCAAAGGUGAGCCAGUACAGGAUGGACCCGCGUCUGAUUAGCUAGUUGGUAAGGUAACGGCUUACCAAGGCGACGAUCAGUAGCCGACCUGAGAGGGUGAUCGGCCACAUUGGAACUGAGACACGGUCCAAACUCCUACGGGAGGCAGCAGUGGGGAAUAUUGCACAAUGGGCGAAAGCCUGAUGCAGCAACGCCGCGUGAGUGAUGAAGGCCUUCGGGUCGUAAAACUCUGUCCUCAAGGAAGAUAAGGACGGUACUUGAGGAGGAAGCCCCGGCUAACUACGUGCCAGCAGCCGCGGUAAUACGUAGGGGGCUAGCGUUAUCCGGAUUUACUGGGCGUAAAGGGUGCGUAGGCGGUCUUUCAAGGCAGGAGUGA